AAGUCAUAAUAAGGUCUUCAUUGGUGAAUCAAUGGAGGGAUCAUUACUGAGUCAUAUGCUCAAACAAUCCUUCUAUGGACCUGAAUUAAACCAUUGCCUUGGUGGAUGAUCCCCUGCCAAAACCCAUGUGAUUAUGGAUAGAGGAUUAGACAAUCUGGUAUGCUUAAGGCAUCCAGUGUCAAUCAUUGGCCUUAACUAAUUAAACUCUAGUAAUCUUAUCUUCUGAGUUUUAAUACAAAAAAAAUAAGUCAAAACUUUCAACAAUGGAUUUCUUGGCUUUG
Molecule: unclassified non-coding RNA, 281 nt
Filed under: fungal sp.
Lineage: Eukaryota; Fungi
Description: partial internal transcribed spacer region
Source: RNAcentral